CCUACGGGCGGCAGCAGUGGGGAAUAUUGGACAAUGGGCGAAAGCCUGAUCCAGCCAUGCCGCGUGUGUGAAGAAGGCCUUCGGGUUGUAAAGCACUUUCAGUGGGGAAGAAAGCCUUGGGGCUAAUACCCUCGAGGAAGGACAUCACCCACAGAAGAAGCCCCGGCUAACUCCGUGCCAGCAGCCGCGGUAAUACGGAGGGUGCGAGCGUUAAUCGGAAUUACUGGGCGUAAAGCGCGCGUAGGCGGUCUGAUAAGCCGGUUGUGAAAGCCCCGGGCUCAACCUGGGAACGGCAUCCGGAACUGUCAGGCUAGAGUGCAGGAGAGGAAGGUAGAAUUCCCGGUGUAGCGGUGAAAUGCGUAGAGAUCGGGAGGAAUACCAGUGGCGAAGGCGGCCUUCUGGACUGACACUGACGCUGAGGUGCGAAAGCGUGGGUAGCAAACAGGAUUAGAUACCCGUGUAGUC
Molecule: ribosomal RNA, 465 nt
Filed under: Vreelandella stevensii
Lineage: Bacteria; Pseudomonadati; Pseudomonadota; Gammaproteobacteria; Oceanospirillales; Halomonadaceae
Description: partial 16S ribosomal RNA
Rfam family: Bacterial small subunit ribosomal RNA
Source: RNAcentral